This 402-nucleotide ribosomal RNA is filed under the name uncultured Sphingomonas sp. RNAcentral describes it as "bacterial SSU rRNA". It matches the Rfam family "Bacterial small subunit ribosomal RNA", at positions 355 to 774 of the family's 1533-position model. Lineage: Bacteria; Pseudomonadati; Pseudomonadota; Alphaproteobacteria; Sphingomonadales; Sphingomonadaceae. The record is from RNAcentral.
UGGGGAAUAUUGGACAAUGGGCGAAAGCCUGAUCCAGCAAUGCCGCGUGAGUGAUGAAGGCCUUAGGGUUGUAAAGCUCUUUUACCCGGGAUGAUAAUGACAGUACCGGGAGAAUAAGCCCCGGCUAACUCCGUGCCAGCAGCCGCGGUAAUACGGAGGGGGCUAGCGUUGUUCGGAAUUACUGGGCGUAAAGCGCACGUAGGCGGCUUUGCAAGUUAGAGGUGAAAGCCCGGGGCUCAACUCCGGAAUUGCCUUUAAAACUGCAUCGCUAGAGUUGUGGAGAGGUAAGUGGAAUUCCGAGUGUAGAGGUGAAAUUCGUAGAUAUUCGGAAGAACACCAGUGGCGAAGGCGACUUACUGGACACAUACUGACGCUGAGGUGCGAAAGCGUGGGGAGCAAACA